AUUUUGUAGCAUCAGUAUAACAUUAUAUUUUUUUUUGUCCUCAAAUUACUUCAGAACAGGUCUGUUAACUCAUCAUGUAAAUUGUAAAUGUAUAUCAUAGUGUAAUCAUGUAAAUUAUUAAUUUUUGCCUUGAGGAGACCUCAUGCCAUUUCAGAUAGUACUUCUAUUGUUACAAUAUACUUGUAAACUUAAAGGGUGAAUACUUGUAUAUAAUAGUUUUACUUUUGAGAGGGUUCUUAAGGUGGGGGGUUUUUGAAAUUUAAAAUUCAGUUUUUCUAACAGUAGUUUACUAAAACAAUAUUGAAUGCUUACCUUUUACGAUUGAGCUGUGCAAAUAUUAUCUGUAACGAACACAAAAUUAUAUUAUAUAUAAUCAAUCUAGGUAUAAAAAGCAAUUCAUAUUAAAAGCAAAUUAUCACACUCAGGUUAAUAAAAAAUCUUAAUGUUAAACAAACUACAGUUACCACUUACCACAUAAUUGUAAUUUUAAAUCAAUUCAUUUUUUAAAUUAAAUAUUAGAGGUUGCAGUUCAUUUGAUAGAAAAUUUAAAAAAAAUUACAUAUUAAAUAGCUUAAGAAAAAAUUCAAUUCUCACCUGUGCAAACAGCAUAAACCAAAUUCCCUGACCAAACAUACAAAUUGAAACUACACACAUAAAAUAGAAAAAUUAUAAUUUAAAAAUUAAUUACAGUAUAAUAAUUAAGUGUCCAGGUUUCCCACUACACUCGAUGAUAACAAUGAUGCGGAGACGGGAUCUUAGCAUAUCUCAUACAGCCGAGUAUCACAUCUGGUCAGUAACAAUUCAUCUUGUAAAUUAGUUUAGUGUUUUAUUAAAAGAUCUCUCGCUCGUACAAACUGAGGCAAAACAAAUGGUG
This is a long non-coding RNA of Maniola jurtina (meadow brown), 874 nucleotides long. RefSeq lists it as uncharacterized. NCBI's taxonomy places the organism in Eukaryota, Metazoa, Arthropoda, Insecta, Lepidoptera, Nymphalidae. The record is from RefSeq and is a predicted model, not a curated record. The transcript is spliced from 2 exons.